CAGCCGCCGCGGUAAUGCGUAGGUCCCGAGCGUUGUCCGGAUUUAUUGGGCGUAAAGCGAGCGCAGGCGGUUAGAUGAGUCUGAAGUUAAAGGCUGUGGCUUAACCAUGGUACGCUUUGGAAACUGUUUAACUUGAGUGCAAGAGGGGAGAGUGGAAUUCCAUGUGUAGCGGUGAAAUGCGUAGAUAUAUGGAGGAACACCGGUGGCGAAAGCGGCUCUCUGGCUUGUAACUGACGCUGAGGCUCGAAAGCGUGGGGAGCAAACAGGAUUAGAUACCCCAGUAGUCCCUGUCUCUUAUACA
Molecule: ribosomal RNA, 301 nt
Filed under: uncultured bacterium
Lineage: Bacteria
Description: partial 16S ribosomal RNA
Rfam family: Bacterial small subunit ribosomal RNA
Source: RNAcentral